GGGUUGUGAGGUUAAGCGACUAAGCGUACACGGUGGAUGCCCUGGCAGUCAGAGGCGAUGAAGGACGUGCUAAUCUGCGAUAAGCGUCGGUAAGGUGAUAUAAACCGUUAUAACCGGCGAUUUCCGAAUGGGGAAACCCAGUGUGAUUCGUCACACUAUCAUUAACUGAAUCCAUAGGUUAAUGAGGCGAACCGGGGGAACUGAAACAUCUAAGUACCCCGAGGAAAAGAAAUCAACCGAGAUUCCCCCAGUAGCGGCGAGCGAACGGGGAGCAGCCCAGAGCCUGAAUCAGUGUGUGUGUUAGUGGAAGCGUCUGGAAAGGCGCGCGAUACAGGGUGACAGCCCCGUACACAAAAAUGCACAUGCUGUGAGCUCGAUGAGUAGGGCGGGACACGUGGUAUCCUGUCUGAAUAUGGGGGGACCAUCCUCCAAGGCUAAAUACUCCUGACUGACCGAUAGUGAACCAGUACCGUGAGGGAAAGGCGAAAAGAACCCCGGCGAGGGGAGUGAAAAAGAACCUGAAACCGUGUACGUACAAGCAGUGGGAGCACGCUUAGGCGUGUGACUGCGUACCUUUUGUAUAAUGGGUCAGCGACUUAUAUUCUGUAGCAAGGUUAACCGAAUAGGGGAGCCGAAGGGAAACCGAGUCUUAACUGGGCGUUAAGUUGCAGGGUAUAGACCCGAAACCCGGUGAUCUAGCCAUGGGCAGGUUGAAGGUUGGGUAACACUAACUGGAGGACCGAACCGACUAAUGUUGAAAAAUUAGCGGAUGACUUGUGGCUGGGGGUGAAAGGCCAAUCAAACCGGGAGAUAGCUGGUUCUCCCCGAAAGCUAUUUAGGUAGCGCCUCGUGAACUCAUCUCCGGGGGUAGAGCACUGUUUCGGCAAGGGGGUCAUCCCGACUUACCAACCCGAUGCAAACUGCGAAUACCGGAGAAUGUUAUCACGGGAGACACACGGCGGGUGCUAACGUCCGUCGUGAAGAGGGAAACAACCCAGACCGCCAGCUAAGGUCCCAAAGUCAUGGUUAAGUGGGAAACGAUGUGGGAAGGCCCAGACAGCCAGGAUGUUGGCUUAGAAGCAGCCAUCAUUUAAAGAAAGCGUAAUAGCUCACUGGUCGAGUCGGCCUGCGCGGAAGAUGUAACGGGGCUAAACCAUGCACCGAAGCUGCGGCAGCGACGCUUAUGCGUUGUUGGGUAGGGGAGCGUUCUGUAAGCCUGUGAAGGUGUACUGUGAGGUAUGCUGGAGGUAUCAGAAGUGCGAAUGCUGACAUAAGUAACGAUAAAGCGGGUGAAAAGCCCGCUCGCCGGAAGACCAAGGGUUCCUGUCCAACGUUAAUCGGGGCAGGGUGAGUCGACCCCUAAGGCGAGGCCGAAAGGCGUAGUCGAUGGGAAACAGGUUAAUAUUCCUGUACUUGGUGUUACUGCGAAGGGGGGACGGAGAAGGCUAUGUUGGCCGGGCGACGGUUGUCCCGGUUUAAGCGUGUAGGCUGGUUUUCCAGGCAAAUCCGGAAAAUCAAGGCUGAGGCGUGAUGACGAGGCACUACGGUGCUGAAGCAACAAAUGCCCUGCUUCCAGGAAAAGCCUCUAAGCAUCAGGUAACAUCAAAUCGUACCCCAAACCGACACAGGUGGUCAGGUAGAGAAUACCAAGGCGCUUGAGAGAACUCGGGUGAAGGAACUAGGCAAAAUGGUGCCGUAACUUCGGGAGAAGGCACGCUGAUAUGUAGGUGAAGCGACUUGCUCGUGGAGCUGAAAUCAGUCGAAGAUACCAGCUGGCUGCAACUGUUUAUUAAAAACACAGCACUGUGCAAACACGAAAGUGGACGUAUACGGUGUGACGCCUGCCCGGUGCCGGAAGGUUAAUUGAUGGGGUCAGCGCAAGCGAAGCUCUUGAUCGAAGCCCCGGUAAACGGCGGCCGUAACUAUAACGGUCCUAAGGUAGCGAAAUUCCUUGUCGGGUAAGUUCCGACCUGCACGAAUGGCGUAAUGAUGGCCAGGCUGUCUCCACCCGAGACUCAGUGAAAUUGAACUCGCUGUGAAGAUGCAGUGUACCCGCGGCAAGACGGAAAGACCCCGUGAACCUUUACUAUAGCUUGACACUGAACAUUGAGCCUUGAUGUGUAGGAUAGGUGGGAGGCUUUGAAGUGUGGACGCCAGUCUGCAUGGAGCCGACCUUGAAAUACCACCCUUUAAUGUUUGAUGUUCUAACGUUGACCCGUAAUCCGGGUUGCGGACAGUGUCUGGUGGGUAGUUUGACUGGGGCGGUCUCCUCCUAAAGAGUAACGGAGGAGCACGAAGGUUGGCUAAUCCUGGUCGGACAUCAGGAGGUUAGUGCAAUGGCAUAAGCCAGCUUGACUGCGAGCGUGACGGCGCGAGCAGGUGCGAAAGCAGGUCAUAGUGAUCCGGUGGUUCUGAAUGGAAGGGCCAUCGCUCAACGGAUAAAAGGUACUCCGGGGAUAACAGGCUGAUACCGCCCAAGAGUUCAUAUCGACGGCGGUGUUUGGCACCUCGAUGUCGGCUCAUCACAUCCUGGGGCUGAAGUAGGUCCCAAGGGUAUGGCUGUUCGCCAUUUAAAGUGGUACGCGAGCUGGGUUUAGAACGUCGUGAGACAGUUCGGUCCCUAUCUGCCGUGGGCGCUGGAGAACUGAGGGGGGCUGCUCCUAGUACGAGAGGACCGGAGUGGACGCAUCACUGGUGUUCGGGUUGUCAUGCCAAUGGCACUGCCCGGUAGCUAAAUGCGGAAGAGAUAAGUGCUGAAAGCAUCUAAGCACGAAACUUGCCCCGAGAUGAGUUCUCCCUGACUCCUUGAGAGUCCUGAAGGAACGUUGAAGACGACGACGUUGAUAGGCCGGGUGUGUAAGCGCAGCGAUGCGUUGAGCUAACCGGUACUAAUGAACCGUGAGGCUUAACCUUACAACGCCGAAG
This 2925-nucleotide ribosomal RNA is filed under the name Escherichia coli. Its description in RNAcentral is "23S ribosomal RNA". It matches the Rfam family "Bacterial large subunit ribosomal RNA". Lineage: Bacteria; Pseudomonadati; Pseudomonadota; Gammaproteobacteria; Enterobacterales; Enterobacteriaceae. The record is from RNAcentral.